GGAGUCUAGCAUGUGCGCGAGUCAUUGGGACAUGACUAAACCUAAAGGCGCAAUGAAAGUAAAGGUCCGCCUUGCGCGGACCGAGGGAGGAUGGGCGGCCGUUGCGGCUGCCGCCCCGCACUCCCGGGGCGUCUCGUUCUCAUUGCGAGAAGAGGCGCACCAAGAGCGUACACGCUGGGACCCGAAAGAUGGUGAACUAUGCCUGGUCAGGACGAAGUCAGGGGAAACCCUGAUGGAGGUCCGUAGCGAUUCUGACGUGCAAAUCGAUCGUCGGAACUGGGUAUAGGGGCGAAAGACUAAUCGAACCAUCUAGUAGCUGGUUCCCUCCGAAGUUUCCCUCAGGAUAGCUGGCGCUCGUUGCGCACGAGUUUCAUCCGGUAAAGCGAAUGAUUAGAGGCAUUGGGGUCGAAACGGCCUCAACCUAUUCUCAAACUUUAAAUGGGUGAGAUCUCCGGCUUGCUCGAACUACUGAAGCCGCGAGACUCGAAUCAGAGUGCCAAGUGGGCCAUUUUUGGUAAGCAGAACUGGCGCUGUGGGAUGAACCAAACGCCGAGUUAAAGCGCCUAAAUCGACGCUUAUGGGAUACCAUGAAAGGCGUUGGUAACUUAAGACAUCAGGACGGUGGCCAUGGAAGUC
RNAcentral lists this ribosomal RNA (636 nucleotides) under Aethyssius sp. COL154. RNAcentral describes it as "eukaryotic LSU rRNA". It matches the Rfam family "Eukaryotic large subunit ribosomal RNA", at positions 670 to 1262 of the family's 3401-position model. Lineage: Eukaryota; Metazoa; Arthropoda; Insecta; Coleoptera; Tenebrionidae. The record is from RNAcentral.